Long non-coding RNA from Entelurus aequoreus (snake pipefish), 1044 nucleotides. RefSeq lists it as uncharacterized. Lineage: Eukaryota; Metazoa; Chordata; Actinopteri; Syngnathiformes; Syngnathidae. The transcript is spliced from 6 exons. The record is from RefSeq and is a predicted model, not a curated record.
GCUGAUGAUGGUGUUUCAGAGAAGAUGGAGGACCACGCAAAAAGGUUAAAAACAGGAGCAGGAGGGAAGCGGAGGAGGUGGCUGCUACACAAAGCAAAGGUCGUGAUAGUGAACGUUUCCGUGGGCCUCAUCCAGCCUGACGAAGCAAGGGAGUGAAGAAGCAAAAAAAUGUGAGGACGAGUGCACCUGCUAUCCCCCCAGGAGAGCUUCUUGCGGCGGUAGCAGCCAUGUGACACGAAGUAGGGACAUUCCUCCCCGGUCUCUGGUGCCAGUGUGCCCCAACCACAGGCGGCUGCUGUCCGCUUGACAUGGCCAAGGAAUCACAGAGGCUGUGUUAAAGUGGCGACACAAUCACUCCAUUUACCCUGAGAAAGGAGGCAGAGAGGAGAGGAAAACCUGUUUUGCAUCCUGAUCAUACAGGAUCCAGACACUGGGUGGGAUGGAGGCCUCAUCCGGUCCAGGCAGGCCGGGCUACAAUGUACACUAAAUAAGGCAGGGCGAACACUUAGUCUGCUUGGCCCCACACGGUUGGACGACACCCUCGCCCGGCGGACACUGCUUGCAGCACUUUCCGUCAGUCGUGUACUGCCCCGACAAACACUCCUCCUCUUUGGCCGAGGCCACCACCUGUCAAUCAUCAGAGGCAUCAGUCAGUCACAUGUUGGACAAAGUGGCUAAGAGGUACAGUAUGUGUGAGCUUAUUGAAUGUGUACUUCAUUAGUGUGGAAUAUUGUACUUUAUCCUUGUUAUCUUAGGCAUGGUCCUGGGAUGGGAAAGAGUUGAGUGACACACAAUGUUUUUCUUAGGCCUUUAUCUACUUUUCUAUUGUUUUAUGUUGUUAAACACUAGGAUAGCUUUACAUCCCUAGAGUCAGAUUAUUUCUUUUCUUUUUUUUUUUUAACCAUAAAUAGACGUUGCUUCAUUUGCAAAAGUUCCAAUGUGAAAAAAUGUGGGAACUAACCCAUCUAAAAUUAAAAAAAACAACAAUUAGGAAUAUUGUUUUUUCUUUUCUGCUCCCAGUCUUCCCUUGACGAGAACACAUGU